UACGGGAGGCAGCAGUGGGGAAUAUUGGACAAUGGGCGGGAAGCCUGAUCCAGCCAUGCCGCGUGUGUGAAGAAGGCCUUUUGGUUGUAAAGCACUUUAAGCGAGGAGGAGGACUACUAGUACUUAAUACUACUGGAUAAGUGGACGUUACUCGCAGAAUAAGCACCGGCUAACUCUGUGCCGGGCAGCCGCGGUAAUACAGAGGGUGCGAGCGUUAAUCGGAUUUACUGGGUCGUAAAGCGUGCGUAGGCGGCUGAUUAAGUCGGAUGUGAAAUCCCCUGAGCUUAACUUAGGAAUUGCAUUCGAUACUGGUCAGCUAGAGUAUGGGAGAGGAUGGUAGAAUUCCAGGUGUAGCGGUGAAAUGCGUAGAGAUCUGGAGGAAUACCGAUGGGCGAAAGGGCAGCCGAUCUGGGCCUAAAUACUGACGCUGAGUACGAAAGCAUGGGGA
This 448-nucleotide ribosomal RNA is filed under the name uncultured bacterium. Its description in RNAcentral is "bacterial SSU rRNA". It matches the Rfam family "Bacterial small subunit ribosomal RNA", at positions 340 to 767 of the family's 1533-position model. The record is from RNAcentral.